Spinacia oleracea (spinach) is the source of this 1257-nucleotide long non-coding RNA. RefSeq lists it as uncharacterized. The transcript is spliced from 3 exons. Lineage: Eukaryota; Viridiplantae; Streptophyta; Magnoliopsida; Caryophyllales; Amaranthaceae. The record is from RefSeq and is a predicted model, not a curated record.
UUUUGAGAUUUUAAUCCUUUCUUUCAACUCCAUAUAAUACACAAGAUUUAAUGUUAUGUAGUAGUCCCCCUACCCUGCACAACCGAGCUUUUCAUGUCUUGAUAACUAAUAUUUUUCCUGUUUCUAUUUUAUUUUUCAGGUUAAACAGUCACUUGUAUAUGUUGCAGUCUCAUCCAAUAGCUCAGGUUCCACUCCCAGUCUGUCUCUAUCACAUACCUAUAUCAUGCUAUGAACUAUUUCAUGUUAUGAGAAGCUUACUUUUUCUUAAUUUGUGUACAUUUUAGUGUAGAAUUGAACUGAGGUUUCACUCAAGUCGACAUUAUUGCAUGACAUAAUUGUUAUAUUUAACUUGCUCAUAAAUGAUUUUUAUGGUGGAUCUGAAACUGUUAGAAAUGACAUAUUGAUUUAAUGGAACUUCUAGUAGUACACAUAAAUGUACAAUGAGCCAAGAUCUUAGGUUGCGUUGUGGGUGUGGGAGAGCUGCAAAAAGACUAGUAUUUUGCACCUUUCGGGUUUUCUGUAUUGGCUAUCAAACCGAUAUGAAAAGUUGUACGAAUUCAUUGCUGGUGAAACAAUGUAGUUAGGUGAAGUUGUUUUCCUAGUGGAUCAUCGGGCAGGUUAGUAUAUGAGACAUCAAUUCAGUUCCCUUUUCUGUCAACUGUUCAAUGUCCUAAUGUUUUUGCAAUCUUCAAUAUUUUAUCAAACUCCUUGUCGUUGUACUCAAUUCGACAACCAUGGUCACUCAGCUCAACGACUAUUAACUAUACAAAAAAGGAAUGGGAAAUCAAUGAAAAUCCUUGUAUGGUUGUCUUAGACCCUACAGGAACAGUUACUAAUAUAAAUGCAGCUAGUAUGAUAUGUAUCUAAGGUAAGAAUACCCCUUCUCAGGUUCAAGAGAAAAGGAGCUGCAAAGAACAGAAAACGGGAGUCUAAGACACUUACUUGACAAUAUCGACUUCUUGUUCCCCAUGUCGGCGACAUGUAUGGACACAGUUUUGCUUGUCUUAUCGUGGUCAUAAGCUACUAAAUGACAUCGAAUAUGUCAACUACAGUAAGAGAUUGUGAUGGAACGAGAUUGGCAAGUUUCCAAUUUAUGACCAAGAGUAGAUGGACAAAGUAAAAACUCACCGGAUGCGCUAUGUUGUUCAACUAGGUUACGUUGAAGGAACCAACAAAUAUACACCUCUAUUAAUUAUUAUUUUUUCGAAGUUUAGUAUGUCUGGUCUUAAUUUAGAACAUUUAUGUAAUUGGUUUUAU